Molecule: small nuclear RNA, 183 nt
Filed under: Dermacentor silvarum
Lineage: Eukaryota; Metazoa; Arthropoda; Arachnida; Ixodida; Ixodidae
Description: U2 spliceosomal RNA
Rfam family: U2 spliceosomal RNA
About the family: U2 is a small nuclear RNA (snRNA) component of the spliceosome (involved in pre-mRNA splicing). Complementary binding between U2 snRNA (in an area lying towards the 5' end but 3' to hairpin I) and the branchpoint sequence (BPS) of the intron results the bulging out of an unpaired adenosine, on the BPS, which initiates a nucleophilic attack at the intronic 5' splice site, thus starting the first of two transesterification reactions that mediate splicing.
Source: RNAcentral
AUAUAUAUAUAUAUAUAUAUAUAUAUAUAUAGUGUUUCUCUUACAACGCCGAAUUUAUGUGGCUCUAUUUGGACCCAAGAUAUAAAACUUAUUUUUGGAAGUGGGCGGAGUGCUUCAAGUCUGCUUCACCUCCGCCGCGGGUCGGCCCGGUAUUGCACAAUCUCCGGGAUCGGCCCACGCAUU